CUUUUCCCGCUGCCACCACCUACAGCCACCACCACCCAGCACACAGUUCCCGCUGCCACCACUCCGUUCAGCAGCAGGACCACACAUGUCGUUAUCAUGGUUCUUAGCAAUCUCGCACCUGUCUUUAGCUCUGCAGACCCGUGCACCCACCCGGUCUGCGCACCCAACCGUUCCCACUGCCCAGCCACUGCCCCUGCCUGGUGCCUCCCUCACUCCACAGACUAGCCAUUCCCAUGUCUUGCCUGCCAGAUCAGUUCGAUCUCAAGCCACUGCUGUUAACUUUUAUUCUGGUCCUAACCAGAUGUUUCUUUGCUAAUGCAAAAGGUGCUUUUCUCUACCUACACAACCUGUUACUUGAGAUUCUCAUUCCUAUCCUGUCUUGAUAGAUGAUGAUUUCUACUGUAAGACCAUGGAAAAAUACAAAUUGACCCCAGGGGCUGCCUGCACCAGGGUCAUGAGAAACUAACCCCAGGGACCCUGGGACCACUCCUCAAUGCUCAGUACCCAGAGGAAAUGGCCGACCACAAAGAGCAGAUGUUGCCAAAGAUAGCUGAACAAUCGAUCAAUGUAUAGGAGAUAUUUGUAUAGCUGUAUACUGGAAUUUCCCUGGAACCCCCCCCCGCCCCCCCCCACCUACUUGCGGUUUCUGAGCUUAAAUACUCUCUGUAACAGUCACUCGGGGUUCUGCUCCUUCCCUAAGGCAGCUGAACCCCGGCGCACGGACCAAUUACAUCCUCUUGCUGUUACAACGAAUUUCGGACUCUUGGUGGUCUUUGGGCAAUUGUCCCAAGAGAAAGACUCUUUGGGUCUUUCACUACUACUGCCAUUAAAUUAUUCAGUUAUAACCAAUCGAUAUACCCCUCAAUCUUGUCAGAAGUUUGCUAAUUAUCAAGUUUAUGUCAGAAAUAAUUCCUAAAGCCUUUAACAGUUUAAAACCCCAUGAGGUCUCAGAAGAAGUGGACACAACUACAGGAUACUGUCUGGAUAAUGUUAUGAUAAUCACUGAAAAACACGGUGGACAACACUGGAUAUCCUGAGUCAAAUGACUAGGCUAAAUCAGGCUACAGGAAACUUAUUCAGAUCUACCGCUCAUGGACCAAAUAGACUCCAUCCAGGUGCUUACUACACCCAGGACAGCUGCAGAGAAGCAACCUUCAGAUGCUCAAUCUCCUGUCACAGACACAGAUACUGCUGACCUAUCCUCAGAUGGCUCCACAGGCCCUGGACAGCAGGGAAACCGACAACUUUCCUGGACAAACAUCCCCCAUACCCAUUCUUCUAGGUUCCCUAGAGACAUGUCACCCUCAAAGCCAGCCAGAAGUAGUCAGAUAUUACAAUGACCCUAUUCCUGCUUCGCCAUCACCUCUUUCUAAUUUUUUUCUUUUUUAAUUAAACCAAAACAGGGGAAUAUUAGCAUUUUGUCUAAAC
Molecule: long non-coding RNA, 1428 nt
Organism: Mastomys coucha (southern multimammate mouse)
Lineage: Eukaryota; Metazoa; Chordata; Mammalia; Rodentia; Muridae
Exons: 3
Source: RefSeq, a predicted model, not a curated record